RNAcentral lists this ribosomal RNA (439 nucleotides) under uncultured bacterium. RNAcentral describes it as "partial 16S ribosomal RNA". It matches the Rfam family "Bacterial small subunit ribosomal RNA", at positions 338 to 795 of the family's 1533-position model. The record is from RNAcentral.
CCUACGGGUGGCAGCAGUGGGGAAUAUUGCACAAUGGGCGAAAGCCUGAUGCAGCAACGCCGCGUGAGCGAUGACGGCCUUCUGGUCUGUAAGCUCUUUCCUCAAGGAAGAAAAUGACGGUACUUGUGGACGAAGCCCCGGCUAACUACGUGUCAGCAUCCGCUGUAAUACGUAGGGGGCUAGCGUUAUCCGGAAUUACUGGGCGUAAAGGGUGCGUAGGUGGUUUCUUAAGUCAGAGGUGAAAGGCUAGGGCUCAACCGUAGUAAGCCUUUGAAACUGGGGAACUUGAGUGCAGGAGAGGAGAGUGGAAUUCGUAGUGUAGCGGUGAAAUGCAUAGAUAUUAGGAGGAACACCAGUUGCGAAGGCGGCUCUCUGGAGUGUAACUGACACUGAGGCACGAAAGCGUGGGGAGCGAACAGGAUUAGAUACCCGGGUAGUC